This 75-nucleotide transfer RNA is filed under the name Solibacillus isronensis. RNAcentral describes it as "tRNA-Glu". It matches the Rfam family "tRNA". From Rfam's summary of the family: Transfer RNA (tRNA) molecules are approximately 80 nucleotides in length. Their secondary structure includes four short double-helical elements and three loops (D, anti-codon, and T loops). RNAcentral also lists the same sequence under 4 other names. The record is from RNAcentral. Lineage: Bacteria; Bacillati; Bacillota; Bacilli; Caryophanales; Caryophanaceae.
GGCCCGUUGGUCAAGUGGUUAAGACACCGCCCUUUCACGGCGGUAACAUGGGUUCAAAUCCCGUACGGGUCACCA